CCCUUAGAUGCUCUGGGCCGCACGCGCGCUACACUGGUCGAUGCAACGAGUUUCUUUCCUUGGCCGACAGGCCUGGGCAAUCUUUGAACAUCGAUCGUGAUCGGGAUAGAUUCUUGUAAUUUUUGAUCUUAAACGAGGAAUUCCUAGUAAACGCAAGUCAUCAGCUUGCAUUGAUUACGUCCCUGCCCUUUGUACACACCGCCCGUCGCUCCUACCGAUUGAAUGGUCCGGUGAAAUCUCCGGACUGGCGUGAGUCGGAGCAAUCUGACAAACACCGGAAAGUUGAUUAAACCUUACCAUUUAGAGGAAGGUGAAGUCGUAACA
Molecule: ribosomal RNA, 324 nt
Filed under: uncultured eukaryote
Lineage: Eukaryota
Description: partial 18S ribosomal RNA
Rfam family: Eukaryotic small subunit ribosomal RNA
Source: RNAcentral